RNAcentral lists this long non-coding RNA (385 nucleotides) under Mytilus galloprovincialis (Mediterranean mussel). The record is from RNAcentral. Lineage: Eukaryota; Metazoa; Mollusca; Bivalvia; Mytilida; Mytilidae.
AAACAAAAAUAUCUUGAGAUUUUGAUGGUAAGGAUAGGUUCGGACAAGGCUCUAAUUCACUGAAUAUCCUUUCUCUCUUGAAUUUUGGCUAAAAUUCUUGUCGGCUUUUAGCAGGAUUUUGCAGGUGAGGAUUAGAUUGGUAUCAGAGCAUCACAUUUUUUGCCUUAUUUGCAAUGCAUUUAUAAAUUUUAGAAUCUCCAUGCUGGACAGACACCCAAAUUUAAAGGUUUUCUAUAUAUUUACAUAAGCACGCACACAUCUUAGUUCCUUGAAACCAUACAUUUUAUUUGUAUAUAAGCUUGAAUGAAUUUUCAAGAAAAUAAAAUCAUAAAUCCAUGAAAUUCUAAAGAUUUAUUGUAAAAUAACUGGUUUCUGCCACCUUAAA